UACGUAGGGUGCAAGCGUUGUCCGGAAUUAUUGGGCGUAAAGAGCUCGUAGGCGGCUUGUCACGUCGACUGUGAAAACCCGAGGCUCAACCUCGGGCCUGCAGUCGAUACGGGCAGGCUAGAGUUCGGUAGGGGAGACUGGAAUUCCUGGUGUAGCGGUGGAAUGCGCAGAUAUCAGGAGGAACACCGAUGGCGAAGGCAGGUCAC
RNAcentral lists this ribosomal RNA (206 nucleotides) under uncultured bacterium. RNAcentral's name for it is "partial 16S ribosomal RNA". It matches the Rfam family "Bacterial small subunit ribosomal RNA", at positions 524 to 729 of the family's 1533-position model. The record is from RNAcentral.